This 467-nucleotide ribosomal RNA is filed under the name uncultured bacterium. RNAcentral's name for it is "bacterial SSU rRNA". It matches the Rfam family "Bacterial small subunit ribosomal RNA", at positions 28 to 507 of the family's 1533-position model. The record is from RNAcentral.
GAUGAACGCUGGCGGCGCGCCUAACACAUGCAAGUCGAACGGUUAAGCCACCUUCGGGUGGGAAUAAAGUGGCGAACGGCUGAGUAACACGUGGGCAACCUGCCCCUCGCACCGGGACAGCCUCGGGAAACCGUGGAUGAUACCGGAUACUCCGCCUCCCCCGCAUGGGGAGGGCGGGAAAGCCCAGACGGCGAGGGAUGGGCCCGCGGCCUGUUAGCUAGUUGGCGGGGCAGCGGCCCACCAAGGCGAUGAUGGGUAGCCGGGUUGAGAGACCGACCGGCCAGAUUGGGACUGAGACACGGCCCAGACUCCUACGGGAGGCAGCAGUGGGGAAUCUUGCACAAUGGGCGGAAGCCUGAUGCAGCGACGCCGCGUGCGGGACGAAGGCCUUCGGGCUGUAAACCGCUUUCAGCAGGGACGAGGCGAAAGUGACGGUACCUGCAGAAGAAGCCCCGGCUAACUACGUG